Molecule: long non-coding RNA, 1015 nt
Organism: Peromyscus californicus insignis
Lineage: Eukaryota; Metazoa; Chordata; Mammalia; Rodentia; Cricetidae
Exons: 3
Source: RefSeq, a predicted model, not a curated record
GGCGGGCGGGCGGGCGGGCGCGCGGCCCGGGGCGACGCGUGUGGACUGAGCUGAUAACAUGAAGAAAUUAGCAGGCGAGACAGUGCAGUAGCAGUGAUGACACAUGACCGACGCGGCAAGGUGCCAGAGCGGUAAGAUUGAAGUUUAAUUUGGUAUCUGUCCGGACUUUGUUCACUUCAUCCUGGGCAGAGGGCAGAGGACAAAAAGAAUGAAAAGGUCAGUGUAAGAAAUCUGAACCUCCUGAGGGCUUAAACUGGGGACUGCCUGCUGUCUAUCCCAAGGGAGCCAGCCCAGGAGGGACAUGCCAGAGGCCUCGGAGACAGGGACUCAGGAGCAACCAUCUCUUAAAUCAGCUCUGUGUCUGGCCCUCCCAGUUAUCUGCACAGAUAAUCCCAUCUGAGCUGAACAUCAGCCUGCCAGGGCUCAGCUGUUUUAACCUCAAGACUCUCCUUAUGACCUCCCUCAUGGAAUCUGUGAAUAAAAUUCUUUAGACCAUUUGAGAAGCAAAGAUGGACCAAAGGACAAAUACUCAACUCUACUUAUAAAAAGCUGUCUCACUAAGACUCACCAAAAUCUUUCUAAUGCCACUGUUCUUUCCUACUUUACAAAGUGACCAGUUGCUGGGCGAGCAACCAUCUAAACCCACAUGGAAUCCUAUAAAGCCACCCUCUGCUAGAAGGGUCUCUUUAGAGCAGUUUUGAUUUACCAUGACUUAGCCAGGAGUGGUGGCAGAGGCGAGCAACCCCAGCACUCAGGAGACACAGAGGAAGAUGGAGAGCUGGAGUUACACACUGAGACCCUUUCUCAAGAAAGAAAAACGUACCCUCCUACAAUACAAUUUCUUUAAUGAAUGUGGCCAUAGACAAGGGUAACUGAUACAUCACCUGAUGUAUGCUUUGAAAUAUAUUGCACAAAUUCACAGAAUUGAGUUCUCCAGCACAUACGAUGUAUUUGUGACAUUUUAUCUAUUAGUAAAUGUAUGUGAUUACAUACACGCCUGAGGACAGGAAAGAGA